UCUUCCCUCUGGCGGCGUGCCUAAUACAUGCAAGUCGAGCGAACAGACGAGGAGCUUGCUCCUCUGACGUUAGCGGCGGACGGGUGAGUAACACGUGGAUAACCUACCUAUAAGACUGGGAUAACUUCGGGAAACCGGAGCUAAUACCGGAUAAUAUAUUGAACCGCAUGGUUCAAUAGUGAAAGACGGUUUUGCUGUCACUUAUAGAUGGAUCCGCGCCGCAUUAGCUAGUUGGUAAGGUAACGGCUUACCAAGGCGACGAUGCGUAGCCGACCUGAGAGGGUGAUCGGCCACACUGGAACUGAGACACGGUCCAGACUCCUACGGGAGGCAGCAGUAGGGAAUCUUCCGCAAUGGGCGAAAGCCUGACGGAGCAACGCCGCGUGAGUGAUGAAGGUCUUCGGAUCGUAAAACUCUGUUAUUAGGGAAGAACAAAUGUGUAAGUAACUAUGCACGUCUUGACGGUACCUAAUCAGAAAGCCACGGCUAACUACGUG
RNAcentral lists this ribosomal RNA (497 nucleotides) under uncultured bacterium. Its description in RNAcentral is "partial 16S ribosomal RNA". It matches the Rfam family "Bacterial small subunit ribosomal RNA", at positions 36 to 507 of the family's 1533-position model. The record is from RNAcentral.